Long non-coding RNA from Lycium ferocissimum, 806 nucleotides. RefSeq lists it as uncharacterized. The record is from RefSeq and is a predicted model, not a curated record. Lineage: Eukaryota; Viridiplantae; Streptophyta; Magnoliopsida; Solanales; Solanaceae. The transcript has 2 exons.
UGACAUAACAAACAUAUAGUGGGUAUUAACAUUUAGUAGCUAUAGUUUAAUUUAAUUACUUCUCAUAGCAAAUAUUUGUGUAUUAAUAUCAUUUAGUAACUAUAUAUAUAUAUACACACACAAAAUAGAAUACUCAUCCCACUAUUCACUUCCAACCCAUCUCUCACAUCUCUCUCCCCCCUCUUCUCCCCACUGCUCCGCCGCCGGCCACCGCCGCCGCCGGAGCUCCGGCGAUUGCCGCGCCCCUUCACCACCGUCACUGCCAGCCCCUUCCCCUUUUCCCUUUCUUCUCCGGUCGUACCCUUUUUUCCUUUCUUCUCCGGAGGCAAAAAGGAAAAAAAAACCAGAUCUAUGACGGAUCCGCUGGUCGGCGAAGCUCCGACGAAGUCCCUCCAAUCUCCGCCGUCCCCACCACGAAGAAUUCAAAAUGCCGAUGAGGGCACGCCGGAAAAGAACCUCAGAUCUAUGCCAGAGAAGAAGAAAAAACUCAGAUCUACGUCGGAAAAAAAAUUCGUCGUUGUAUUCGCUGGAAUUUUUUUCCGGUCAGAUCUGGAAAAAGUCUAGAUUUUCGCUGUAUUUGUUGUAUAUUUACCGUGUAUACAAUAUUUUUCGCUUGUAUUUGUUGUAUACAUACCGAAAAAUAUUUUCCGAUCAGAUCUGGAAAAAGUCUAGAUUUUCGCUGUAUUUGUUGUAUAUUUACCGUGUAUACAAAUUUUUCGUUUGUAUUUGUUGUAUACAUACCGAAAAAUAUGGCAUUUUUGUUAAUUUGUUGGUGUAUCUAUGUUGUAUACAGUAUUUUUCGCCUG